UGGGGAAUAUUGGACAAUGGGCGCAAGCCUGAUCCAGCCAUACCGCGUGGGUGAAGAAGGCCUUCGGGUUGUAAAGCCCUUUUGUUGGGAAAGAAAUCCAGCCGGCUAAUACCUGGUUGGGAUGACGGUACCCAAAGAAUAAGCACCGGCUAACUUCGUGCCAGCAGCCGCGGUAAUACGAAGGGUGCAAGCGUUACUCGGAAUUACUGGGCGUAAAGCGUGCGUAGGUGGUCAUUUAAGUCCGUUGUGAAAGCCCUGGGCUCAACCUGGGAACUGCAGUGGAUACUGGAUGACUAGAAUGUGGUAGAGGGUAGCGGAAUUCCUGGUGUAGCAGUGAAAUGCGUAGAGAUCAGGAGGAACAUCCAUGGCGAAGGCAGCUACCUGGACCAACAUUGACACUGAGGCACGAAAGCGUGGGGAGCAAACA
This 427-nucleotide ribosomal RNA is filed under the name uncultured bacterium. RNAcentral's name for it is "partial 16S ribosomal RNA". It matches the Rfam family "Bacterial small subunit ribosomal RNA", at positions 355 to 774 of the family's 1533-position model. The record is from RNAcentral.